CUCACAGCACACAGCAGUCUUUGUAAUUUACACUGACAAAACCUUGGAGUGGAGACUCUGAUAGGAAAUUUAAGUGGAAAAAAAAAAAAAGAGAAAGAGGCACAGAUGAGACGUUUUAUUCUCAUUGACAUUGUCAGAAUUUUGUUUUCAAGAACCUUAAUUGUAAUUGGAGACUUGAAAUGUCAUAGGGGAUUCAUUUUGCAAGACGGAGAAGAGGGAAAAGAGAAUUUUAAAGGUGAUGCUUCUAAAAUUCUGAGAUACCAAGAUUUGCUCUUCUCCAAGGUGGGAAUUACUUAUCUGAUGCAUGAAAUUAAUGAGACUUUGACAUCCAUUUGGCCAGGCCUACCUGAGGGCUGGUUCAUGACCUAAAAAAGAUAACACAGAACCAUCUCUUUUUUGGCCCUCUCCAUUCUGCUGGGGCCUGAUAUUUUAGCAGAGACUGUAGUCCUCAGCACAACUAACAGGGUAAGUGGACUCUGAAUCUGUUUCUACCAAGCUUCUCCUCAUGUUUGCACAAAGUUCUGUGUUUGAUCUAAACAGGAGGAGAACGUAUGGCAUAUCCUUUAUGUCCCUGGGUGUUCUCCAUUUGAAUAUUACUCAAGAAACUAUAAGCUUAGGAGCUAUUGGGGCUUCAUGAAUGAUGAUGCUUAUAUCUGCAUUUGGAUAUUGUGCUGUAUUGAUUUUACAAUGGAUGGAAUCUGACUAGAAGGAGACCUAAACUCUCCAUUAGAACAUAAAGACUCCUGGGAAUCCUCAGAAAUACUGCCUUACUCCCCAAACAGCAAAAGGCUUCUAAAUAUACCAUCAGCAGAAUGGGAGGGCUAUGAUUUAAUGAUGGUAUCCCCUCCGAAAUUCAUAUUGAAACUGAAUCUUAAUGCAACAGUAUUAAGAAGUGUGGCCUCAGGUGGUGAUUAAGUCAUGAGGGCUUCACUCCCAUGAAAGGGCUUUGCUCCAUUAUAAAAGCGGGUGAGUUUAAAGGGAGCUCUCCUGCCAUUCUGUCCCCUCUGCCAUGUGAGGACAGUGUUGGUCCCCUCUGGAGGAUCAGCAACAAAGCACCAUCUUGGAAACAGACUCCAGACUCCAGAGCCUUGAAAAAUAAACUUUUUGUUCUUAUAAAUUACCUAGUCUAUGAUAUUUUGUCUUAGAAGCAUAAAUGGAUGAGGACAGAGAGGUUUGGCUGUAAUCUCCUACUCAUUAAAAUUGUAGGAAAAGAAUGGUUGUUAAAAUCUAGAAAAAAGACUUUUGGGAAGGAAGUAUGUGGAAGCCGUCAUUAAAUGUGCUACUUUCUGAGAACUAGUCAUAUGUUUUAUGAAUCGAAUUGGACAGAGAUUCAGAAGUUUCUAUUUAUUAUUUAUAAGUUAUAUUAAAACACACCUGAAUUGUCAAGACUUUAUGUGCCUGGUGGCAGAAAGCAAUGGAAUGGGGAUGAACAUUAGAAAAACCAGUGAUUUCCUUAGAAAUAUCAGCUUUAAAAUGAAAGAAAAUGACUCUCAAAAUAAUGCCCAUUUAAAAUGUUUUGUAAUGCAGGAAUUUUGUCUGUUUUACUUUAAGGGAUGACUAGAUCUUGUGAUUGAGAACAGAAGAAAACCAGGGAGAAAACAAAUGCUCUAGAAGGGAAUUUUUUUUUUCUUAUGCCGUCCAGAAGGAAUGACAGUCAUUCCUUCAUCAGUGUUGGUACAGAUCAUCAAUCGUACAUCAGUCAUCAGGUGUUACAGAAAUUACACAGAGGCACCCCCUGCUGGAGGGAGGUGUCACUCAGCCAGGCACACCGAGGGAAGACAGAGCCGUCUCUUGUAUUUGUCCUGCUCCUGAUGGACAGAGGGAAAGCAGCACAGAAGAACAUGACUCUAAGGGAAGCAACAGUCAGAAAGAGAUAACACCAGAAACCUCAAACAUAUGAGCGGAGAGAAAUUCUCUCUUAAGAUGCCUGGGAACCUUCCAUGUUGAGACGCUGCCAAGUUACUGAACAAGCAUUGUACAACCUUAUACGAAGUAUUUCCUUUUGCCAAGCCGUUCUGCAGGUGAGGACCAUAAUGGUGACGGUUGAGGGCCCAGGCUACACAAAGUGUGAUACUGCCAAAGUCAGGGCACUUUGCCCAGGGGUACAUGUCCUAGAAGGGGCAUCAGAGAUGCCAUGGUCCAAUCCUGUUUUUUUCUGAGAAGACAGCACUGUGACUUGAAGAGAAUAAAUGAUGGCACAAAAGAAAAAAAGUGGUGGGACCAAAGGUAAAAUUCAGAAGUGCACUGGGGACUGCAAUCUCAGUGUAGUUUUAGAUAUUUUCAGCAUAUGAACAAAAUUGAAGAACUAAAAAUGAUGAUUUGUGGGAAAGAAUGCACACAAAGGCUGUGGUUCAUCCUUGGACUAUUACGGUCCAUUUUAAGAGCAGUAUUCACAAUGAGUCCUAAAGGACAUUAAGGAAACUUCCUUGACAGCCAUGAAGAAUCAGAAUAGGGAAGGUGAAGAGUUCUAUACUUUCACAUUUAAUUAAUGCAUUAAUUAAUGCACAGUUUCAAUAGCAAUUUUUCCUAAGGCAGAUAUCUCUGUUGCCUGCCAUGUUGCUGGAUUCACCACUGUUCAUGCAGUUCUUGAUAUAGUACCUGCUACUUAGAAACUCAAGAAUAUUUGUUAAUGAAAGAAUGACUCAGCUAGGCGCCGUGGCUCACACCUGUAAUCCCAGCACUUUGGAAGGCUGAGGUGGGUGAAUUGCUUAAGGUCAGGAGUUUGAGACCAGCUUGGCCAACUUGGUGAAAUACCAUCUCUACUAGAAAUAUAAAAAAUUAGCCAGGUGUGGUGGUACACGCCUGUUGUCCUAGCCACUCAGGAGGCUGAGGCAGGAGAAUCACUUGAACCUGGGAGAUGGAGGUUACAGCAGUGAGCCAAGAUCAUGCCACUACACUCCAGCAUGGGCAACAGAGCAAGCAAGACUUUGUCUGAAAAAAAAAAAAAAGAAAAAAGAAAGAAAGAAGAAAAAGAAUAACUCUCACAAUUCAAUAUUUAACUUUAUGCCAUAGUAGCUUUUUUAUUCUAAGAUAAAGGUGAAUUUUUCUAAAUGAGAAUAUAGAAAUAAUGGUACCUUUACUGCAUCUAAUGUUGAAUUACCCACACCUCCAUGUUUGAUGGAGCUGGAACUAUUCAGCUCUCUAUUCCUUGGGAUAUAUUUAACCCAUAUUAUGUGCUUAUAAAACAAAGGCAUCAAAAAACUGUUUUAGAAUGAAAGAUGUUCAAGAACAGAAAUCUCAAAUCCGUGAAUGUCUUGGGUAGUAGCUUUCAUGUGUAGCAGAAUAAUUCUAGAUAUGCAAAGUUCUGGUGAAUUUCCAACAGUUUCCUUUUUAUCAAUUCCUGUGAUCAACUCUGAGAAGCCUCUAGUAUUAUGUGUCUUCUGCCAACACUGCUGGCACAGCAUUAUCCACAGACUUUUUACAUGCUAAUCCAAGACACAGACCUUGAGUGAUUCUUCCCCUUAGCAUCCACUCCCUGGGCUCCUUGGUGUCAGACUUGAAGAAGACAAGUCUCCGAGAAGCAUUGCUUCUGGGAAGGAACUAGAUACGUGGAGAAGAUGUGGUAUGUUUGGGAGACGAUAUAGUGAAAGGAAAGAAUGAAACCUGAGGUGAAAAUGAAGGAUUCUGAUCAAAUGAAAGCAAAACAAGACACCUGACUGGUCUUCUGCUAACUGUCCCUCCCAUCCAUCAAAGAAACUACACAGAGGGGAGUAUAAAUGACAAAAUAGUGUGAUUUUAAACAUUCCAUGCUGUCAAAAAUGCAGAUAGGAAUAAAAAAGGAUCAGACUGCAUUCAUGUAAAACUAUUACAAAAAUCAGUAAAUAGAAGUCUCUGCUAAUUAAAAGUCUUUUCAUAAAAGCAUUCAGGCAGCUGACGGAAAAGGUAUAACACUCCAAACUGCACAAAAAAGUUUGUUUAUGUGAAAAAAUUACUUUGAAUCAGAAAAACAAGAACCAAUAACAGAAAUGGAAAGACAACAAGAAUGAAUAAAAGGAAAGUUAAUUGAGCUCAGGAAAGAAAUAGAAGAAAACUAUAAAUUUAUAUCAGACAUGAAAGCACAUAAAGAACUAAUGCAAAAAAAAAACCAGGAAGUAAAAUUUUACAUAUAUCAACCAAGGAAAAUACCUGCAAAAUAAUAAUUAUAAAACAGACUGCAACUCCAAGUCGAUGAUCAAACAGAGUCAAAUAUAAUGAGUCAUUCGUGGAAAUAAAAUUUACCUUGAAUCAGAAAUUCUAGGCGGGGUGCGGUGACUCAUGCCUGUAACCCCAGCACUUUGGGAGGCCAAGGCAGGUGAAUCACUUGAGAUCAGGAGUUCAAGACCAGCCAGACCAACAUGGUGAAAUCCCAUCGCUACUAAAAAUAUAUAUAUAUAUAUUAGCCGGUCCUGGUGGCACACACCUGUAAUCCUAGCUACUUGGGAGGAUGAUACAGGAGACUCACUUGAACCCAGGAGGCAGAGGUUCCAGUGAGCUGAGAUCAGGACACUGCACUCAGGCCUGGGAGACAGAUAGAGACUCUGUGAAAGAAAGAAAGAGAGAAAGAAUGAAAGAGAGAGAAUAAUGAAGUAUGAAGGAAUGAAGCAUGAAGG
Callithrix jacchus (white-tufted-ear marmoset) is the source of this 4589-nucleotide long non-coding RNA. Lineage: Eukaryota; Metazoa; Chordata; Mammalia; Primates; Cebidae. The record is from Ensembl.